Molecule: small nuclear RNA, 303 nt
Filed under: Jaculus jaculus (lesser Egyptian jerboa)
Lineage: Eukaryota; Metazoa; Chordata; Mammalia; Rodentia; Dipodidae
Description: 7SK RNA (ENSJJAG00000009334.1)
Rfam family: 7SK RNA
About the family: 7SK was discovered as an abundant small nuclear RNA in the mid-70s but a possible function has only recently been suggested. Two independent studies have found that 7SK RNA binds the CDK9/cyclin T complex (known as elongation factor P-TEFb). P-TEFb activates transcription by phosphorylating the C-terminal domain of RNA polymerase II.
Source: Rfam by way of RNAcentral
GGAGGUGAGAGCCAUCUGGCAGUGACAUCUGCUACCUCCUUAGUCAUCAGGGCUGAUUUGACUAUUUGGCUUGCUAUGCAGGUGACUCCUUUCCCCCUCACUGCUUCAUGGCUCCAUGUGCAUCUAUCUCUCCUGGAGCCCAGCAGUCCGUGGAGGAGAAUGACCUCAGUGCAGGAGGAGUGGUCUUUGGUCAAAUGUCUAACAGGCUCUUAAGGUCCAUUUGCAGGGUGGAUGUAAGUAGUUAAGCUUCCAGGGUUCAACAAGCAUCCAAAUGAAGCACUGUACAUAGAAGUCUGCCAACAU